UACGUAGGUGGCAAGCGUUAUCCGGAAUUACUGGGCGUAAAGCGCACGCAGGUGGCUUGUUAAGUCUGACGUGAAAGCUCCUGGCUUAACUGGGAGAGGUCGUUGGAGACUGGCAGGCUUGAGGCGAGGAGAGGGGUGUAGAAUUCCCGGUGUAGUGGUGGAAUGCGUAGAUAUCGGGGGGAAUACCAGUGGCGAAAGCGGCACCCAGGCCUUGGCCUGACGCUCAGGUGCGAAAGCGUGGGGAGCAAACGGG
This 253-nucleotide ribosomal RNA is filed under the name uncultured bacterium. Its description in RNAcentral is "partial 16S ribosomal RNA". It matches the Rfam family "Bacterial small subunit ribosomal RNA", at positions 524 to 776 of the family's 1533-position model. The record is from RNAcentral.